RNAcentral lists this ribosomal RNA (2771 nucleotides) under Klebsiella pneumoniae. Its description in RNAcentral is "bacterial LSU rRNA". It matches the Rfam family "Bacterial large subunit ribosomal RNA". The record is from RNAcentral. Lineage: Bacteria; Pseudomonadati; Pseudomonadota; Gammaproteobacteria; Enterobacterales; Enterobacteriaceae.
AGCGUACACGGUGGAUGCCCUGGCAGUCAGAGGCGAUGAAGGACGUGCUAAUCUGCGAAAAGCGUCGGUAAGGUGAUAUGAACCGUUAUAGCCGGCGAUGUCCGAAUGGGGAAACCCAGUGCAAUUCGUUGCACUAUCGUUAACUGAAUACAUAGGUUAACGAGGCGAACCGGGGGAACUGAAACAUCUAAGUACCCCGAGGAAAAGAAAUCAACCGAGAUUCCCCCAGUAGCGGCGAGCGAACGGGGAGCAGCCCAGAGUCUGAAUCAGCUUGUGUGUUAGUGGAACGGUCUGGAAAGUCCGACGGUACAGGGUGAUAGUCCCGUACACCAAAAUGCACAGGCUGUGAACUCGAAGAGUAGGGCGGGACACGUGGUAUCCUGUCUGAAUAUGGGGGGACCAUCCUCCAAGGCUAAAUACUCCUGACUGACCGAUAGUGAACCAGUACCGUGAGGGAAAGGCGAAAAGAACCCCGGCGAGGGGAGUGAAAAAGAACCUGAAACCGUGUACGUACAAGCAGUGGGAGCACCUUCGGGUGUGACUGCGUACCUUUUGUAUAAUGGGUCAGCGACUUAUAUUCUGUAGCAAGGUUAACCGUAUAGGGGAGCCGCAGGGAAACCGAGUCUUAACUGGGCGUUAAGUUGCAGGGUAUAGACCCGAAACCCGGUGAUCUAGCCAUGGGCAGGUUGAAGGUUGGGUAACACUAACUGGAGGACCGAACCGACUAAUGUUGAAAAAUUAGCGGAUGACUUGUGGCUGGGGGUGAAAGGCCAAUCAAACCGGGAGAUAGCUGGUUCUCCCCGAAAGCUAUUUAGGUAGCGCCUCGUGAACUCAUCUUCGGGGGUAGAGCACUGUUUCGGCUAGGGGGUCAUCCCGACUUACCAACCCGAUGCAAACUACGAAUACCGAAGAAUGUUAUCACGGGAGACACACGGCGGGUGCUAACGUCCGUCGUGAAGAGGGAAACAACCCAGACCGCCAGCUAAGGUCCCAAAGUCAUGGUUAAGUGGGAAACGAUGUGGGAAGGCACAGACAGCCAGGAUGUUGGCUUAGAAGCAGCCAUCAUUUAAAGAAAGCGUAAUAGCUCACUGGUCGAGUCGGCCUGCGCGGAAGAUGUAACGGGGCUAAACCAUGCACCGAAGCUGCGGCAGCGACACUAUGUGUUGUUGGGUAGGGGAGCGUUCUGUAAGCCUGCGAAGGUGUGCUGUGAGGCAUGCUGGAGGUAUCAGAAGUGCGAAUGCUGACAUAAGUAACGAUAAAGCGGGUGAAAAGCCCGCUCGCCGGAAGACCAAGGGUUCCUGUCCAACGUUAAUCGGGGCAGGGUGAGUCGACCCCUAAGGCGAGGCCGAAAGGCGUAGUCGAUGGGAAACAGGUUAAUAUUCCUGUACUUGGUGUUACUGCGAAGGGGGGACGGAGAAGGCUAUGUUAGCCGGGCGACGGUUGUCCCGGUUUAAGCAUGUAGGCUGGUUAUCCAGGCAAAUCCGGAUAAUCAAGGCUGAGGUGUGAUGACGAGGCACUACGGUGCUGAAGUAACAAAUGCCCUGCUUCCAGGAAAAGCCUCUAAGCAUCAGGUAACAUUAAAUCGUACCCCAAACCGACACAGGUGGUCAGGUAGAGAAUACCAAGGCGCUUGAGAGAACUCGGGUGAAGGAACUAGGCAAAAUGGUGCCGUAACUUCGGGAGAAGGCACGCUGGUGUGUAGGUGAAGCCCCUGCGGGUGGAGCUGAGACCAGUCGAAGAUACCAGCUGGCUGCAACUGUUUAUUAAAAACACAGCACUGUGCAAACACGAAAGUGGACGUAUACGGUGUGACGCCUGCCCGGUGCCGGAAGGUUAAUUGAUGGGGUUAUCCGUAAGGAGAAGCUCUUGAUCGAAGCCCCGGUAAACGGCGGCCGUAACUAUAACGGUCCUAAGGUAGCGAAAUUCCUUGUCGGGUAAGUUCCGACCUGCACGAAUGGCGUAAUGAUGGCCAGGCUGUCUCCACCCGAGACUCAGUGAAAUUGAACUCGCUGUGAAGAUGCAGUGUACCCGCGGCAAGACGGAAAGACCCCGUGAACCUUUACUAUAGCUUGACACUGAACAUUGAGCCUUGAUGUGUAGGAUAGGUGGGAGGCUUUGAAGCGUGGACGCCAGUCUGCGUGGAGCCAACCUUGAAAUACCACCCUUUAAUGUUUGAUGUUCUAACGUUGGCCCCUGACCGGGGUUGCGGACAGUGUCUGGUGGGUAGUUUGACUGGGGCGGUCUCCUCCCAAAGCGUAACGGAGGAGCACGAAGGUUAGCUAAUCCUGGUCGGACAUCAGGAGGUUAGUGCAAUGGCAUAAGCUAGCUUGACUGCGAGCGUGACGGCGCGAGCAGGUGCGAAAGCAGGUCAUAGUGAUCCGGUGGUUCUGAAUGGAAGGGCCAUCGCUCAACGGAUAAAAGGUACUCCGGGGAUAACAGGCUGAUACCGCCCAAGAGUUCAUAUCGACGGCGGUGUUUGGCACCUCGAUGUCGGCUCAUCACAUCCUGGGGCUGAAGUAGGUCCCAAGGGUAUGGCUGUUCGCCAUUUAAAGUGGUACGCGAGCUGGGUUUAGAACGUCGUGAGACAGUUCGGUCCCUAUCUGCCGUGGGCGCUGGAGAAUUGAGGGGGGCUGCUCCUAGUACGAGAGGACCGGAGUGGACGCAUCACUGGUGUUCGGGUUGUCAUGCCAAUGGCACUGCCCGGUAGCUAAAUGCGGAAGAGAUAAGUGCUGAAAGCAUCUAAGCACGAAACUUGCCCCGAGAUGAGUUCU